UUUAAAGAGAGUUUGAUCCUGGCUCAGGACGAACGCUGGCGGCGUGCCUAAUACAUGCAAGUCGAACGAACGGAGGAAGAGCUUGCUCUUCCAAAGUUAGUGGCGGACGGGUGAGUAACACGUGGGCAACCUGCCUGUAAGUUGGGGAUAACUCCGGGAAACCGGGGCUAAUACCGAAUGAUAAAGUGUGGCGCAUGCCACGCUUUUGAAAGAUGGUUUCGGCUAUCGCUUACAGAUGGGCCCGCGGUGCAUUAGCUAGUUGGUAGGGUAAUGGCCUACCAAGGCAACGAUGCAUAGCCGACCUGAGAGGGUGAUCGGCCACACUGGGACUGAGACACGGCCCAGACUCCUACGGGAGGCAGCAGUAGGGAAUCUUCCGCAAUGGACGAAAGUCUGACGGAGCAACGCCGCGUGUAUGAAGAAGGUUUUCGGAUCGUAAAGUACUGUUGUUAGAGAAGAACAAGGAUAAGAGUAACUGCUUGUCCCUUGACGGUAUCUAACCAGAAAGCCACGGCUAACUACGUGCCAGCAGCCGCGGUAAUACGUAGGUGGCAAGCGUUGUCCGGAUUUAUUGGGCGUAAAGCGCGCGCAGGCGGUCUUUUAAGUCUGAUGUGAAAGCCCCCGGCUUAACCGGGGAGGGUCAUUGGAAACUGGAAGACUGGAGUGCAGAAGAGGAGAGUGGAAUUCCACGUGUAGCGGUGAAAUGCGUAGAUAUGUGGAGGAACACCAGUGGCGAAGGCGACUCUCUGGUCUGUAACUGACGCUGAGGCGCGAAAGCGUGGGGAGCAAACAGGAUUAGAUACCCUGGUAGUCCACGCCGUAAACGAUGAGUGCUAAGUGUUAGGGGGUUUCCGCCCCUUAGUGCUGCAGCUAACGCAUUAAGCACUCCGCCUGGGGAGUACGACCGCAAGGUUGAAACUCAAAGGAAUUGACGGGGGCCCGCACAAGCGGUGGAGCAUGUGGUUUAACGAAGCAACGCGAAGAACCUUACCAGGUCUUGACAUCCUUUGACCACUCUGGAGACAGAGCUUUCCCUUCGGGGACAAAGUGACAGGUGGUGCAUGGUUGUCGUCAGCUCGUGUCGUGAGAUGUUGGGUUAAGUCCCGCAACGAGCGCAACCCUUGAUUUUAGUUGCCAGCAUUUAGUUGGGCACUCUAAAGUGACUGCCGGUGCAAGCCGGAGGAAGGUGGGGAUGACGUCAAAUCAUCAUGCCCCUUAUGACCUGGGCUACACACGUGCUACAAUGGAUAGUACAAAGGGUCGCGAAGCCGCGAGGUGGAGCUAAUCCCAUAAAACUAUUCUCAGUUCGGAUUGUAGGCUGCAACUCGCCUACAUGAAGCCGGAAUCGCUAGUAAUCGUGGAUCAGCAUGCCACGGUGAAUACGUUCCCGGGCCUUGUACACACCGCCCGUCACACCACGAGAGUUUGUAACACCCGAAGUCGGUAGGGUAACCUUUAUGGAGCCAGCCGCCGAAGGUGGGACAGAUAAUUGGGGUGAAGUCGUAACAAGGUAGCCGUAUCGGAAGGUGCGGCUGGAUCACCUCCUUU
This 1548-nucleotide ribosomal RNA is filed under the name Listeria monocytogenes. RNAcentral's name for it is "16S ribosomal RNA". It matches the Rfam family "Bacterial small subunit ribosomal RNA". The record is from RNAcentral. Lineage: Bacteria; Bacillati; Bacillota; Bacilli; Caryophanales; Listeriaceae.